Molecule: ribosomal RNA, 467 nt
Filed under: uncultured bacterium
Lineage: Bacteria
Description: partial 16S ribosomal RNA
Rfam family: Bacterial small subunit ribosomal RNA
Source: RNAcentral
ACGCACGCUGGCGGCGUGCUUAACACAUGCCAGUCGAACGGAAAGGCCCUGCUUUUGUGGGGUGCUCGAGUGGCGAACGGGUGAGUAACACGUGAGUAACCUGCCCUUGACUUUGGGAUAACUUCAGGAAACUGGGGCUAAUACCGGAUAGGAGCUCCUGCUGCAUGGUGGGGGUUGGAAAGUUUCGGCGGUUGGGGAUGGACUCGCGGCUUAUCAGCUUGUUGGUGGGGUAGUGGCUUACCAAGGCUUUGACGGGUAGCCGGCCUGAGAGGGUGACCGGCCACAUUGGGACUGAGAUACGGCCCAGACUCCUACGGGAGGCAGCAGUGGGGAAUAUUGCACAAUGGGCGGAAGCCUGAUGCAGCAACGCCGCGUGCGGGAUGAAGGCCUUCGGGUUGUAAACCGCUUUCGCCUGUGACGAAGCGUGAGUGACGGUAAUGGGUAAAGAAGCACCGGCUAACUACGUG